Molecule: long non-coding RNA, 2762 nt
Organism: Hipposideros armiger (great roundleaf bat)
Lineage: Eukaryota; Metazoa; Chordata; Mammalia; Chiroptera; Hipposideridae
Exons: 2
Source: RefSeq, a predicted model, not a curated record
CCGCGGAGCUCCCGGAGCUGGUUAGAGCCUAGCUAGACAGAGGCGCGAGGCCAGAGCGACGAUCCCGUGGGAGCCGUGAGAAAAGGAACCAACUGAUCUGCUGGAAUGAGAGGAGCAACCUAUGAGAGGGCCCCAACCCUCUCCCACUCCCAAUACUUCUUAUUCUGGGGCGACUUCUCCAGUAGGGUUCCUAGGCCGUUUCUCACAACCCUCAUCUCAGUUUCAGGAACUGACCCACAGUCUAAAUGAAGUGCAUCCCAAGACCUCUAACAUUCCUUUACCUUCAGCUUCUAGCUUCUCUAACACCUGGACUGCAUCUCAUUCAUCUCUUUUUAUCCUGAUCCCAGCAUGGAUCUAACUGGUAAAUGGAUGGCCUGUUACUCUAAUGCAGCGAUUGGAACAGAAUUCUUCCUUCACUUUGAGAAGCCUAGUUGUUUUAUAAAAGGACAGCACAGUUUUUUCAUGCAGCAGGUAUGCAUUUGUCUGACUGCAUUUGCCAGUUGCUCGUAGUGGGCAUGUGGAUAAAGCCAAUGGUCGCAUGCCAUGCAGUCUGCCCCUUGGCCUAAAUUAAUCCUAGUGUUUCCAGCCAGAGCCUAGGAAGCCAAAGCGGUUAGAACCGCGGGAGGAACAGGGCUGGGCGGGCCACUCCCGCCAGAGGGCGCUGUCGGCUCGCGGAGCCAGGAGCGGAGGCCGUGGCCGCGAGGUGCGGUCGCGAUGCCCUCUCAGCAGCCUAGUGACUGCAUCACCACAGUACCCGAUUGCGGUGAAGUGCAGCGAGCCAACCAGCGCCAAAGCGCUCAUAUGAGCAAGGAAAGGAGACACUAACAAGAUUCUUGACUCAAAGUGUCAUCCUUGUGACAAACAUUUAUAGAGCACAAAGUUGUACCUUUUAUGUCCAAGAUACUGGAGAGUAAGUAUCGAGAUGAGUCACACUACAUUUCCAAACUUAAAGACUUUUCAGAGAUAGUGGCAGAAUUAAAACAGGUACCAAAUAAGUCGAGUGCUGUGCAGGCAGAGGUAAGAGCUGUAAGCAGAAAUGAGGAGGAAGGGCAGGGAAAGCUCAGGGAGGAGGCCUUAUAGCUUCUGCUAAGGGGAUAUGGACCGGGCCCUCAGAGGAUUUGAGUCUUCAAGGAGAGAAGGAUUUGCCACCCUGCAUCACAUAUUGGUUGCAACAGAUGUUGUGAGUUUAACCAGUCCUGGUUUUACAUUUAUUAUACCUGCAUGAUUGUUAUCUGUGACAAAAGGCACUAUUCCCCGACCUGGAGCCCCACCUCCUUGAUCCUGAAAGGUAAAUUAGAAGUAGAAAUGGAUUAAUCAGAUGUCCAGAAUGUGUUAGAGAUAUAUAACCUAAGCUGAACAGUCAGAUUAGUCAUUUUGCUAAUUGAUAAGACGCACAGGGAGCCUGCAGAAACAGCUGUUAAACACUUGGUACAGGUAUCAUAAAACCAUAUGCUGAAAAUAUAUCUAUAUAAUAAUUGGUGUUAGAUAUAUUAGAAGAUACAAAAAAUAGAGAAAUGGAGAAACAAUGUCCUAUUGUUUUAAAGACUCAUACCACCCAAACUUUAUCAAUAUCAUAGUCCCCUGAGACUUAUUAUAAGUCUAUAAUAUUGUAUGACACUGAGGCUAGUUAAAUUUGGAACCAAUAAAUUAAAACAAACCUGGACCUUGGACUUACAAGGAGUUAAAGUGUAAUUGGAGUUAUUACCAAUUAGAUCAUAUUGCGUUGGUUUCAGCAUAAUAAUGUAGAAAAGUUAGUAAAACGAGGAAGUGAGAGAGUUCGUUUUAGACCUAUCAUUAUUGUUAUUUAACAUUUUUUUCUUUGUGGCAAAUCAGUUAACUUCCCUAGGUCUCAGUGUCCUCAUUUAAUGGGGGGAAUUUAACAAAUAAUAAAGAAUACAGACCAGGUGAUUGCUCAACUUCUGCAGAGUGUAACAAACAGGUCUUACUGAGUUCAGUUGUGUCUACAUGCCUCCUUAUUGCUAACUUGGUUCUGAAAUCGCCUGAAGGACCUGCAGAUCCUGUGAGGUUGGACAAAUUGAGGGAAGGGGAAAAGGAGCUUAGGUGGCUGUUAGUUCUGAUAACAGGCAGGCUUCUCCGUGUCACCUGAAGUCUUCUGUGUGCUGUGGCCCAGGCCAUUGACUGUGAUCUCUGCGACCUCUAAAUUACUACAGCACUUUCUGCCUGUGACAUUUAUCUGUCAUAUACUCUAUGCUACCUUGAGCUAUCUUUCUGCACCAGACAUUUGAGGAUAGGGUCUAUGGCAGCCUUCAGUGCUACUCGCCAGAUAUUCCAGGCUCCUCACACCUGUCUGUGGAUGGGAGAAUUUCUCAGCCCCCUUGUGGAUGGGGGAGGGAGGCCACGUGACUGGCUCUAGCCAACAACUAGGAGCAGAGGUAAUGGUUAGCACUUCCUGUGGACUAAUUAGUUGCCUGAGGAAGGCCCUCAGGAGGUUCUUCUGUUCUCUGCCAGUGACCAGCUAUGUUCCAGAGCAUGACUUUUCUGUGGGUCUGGAUGCAGGAGUGAGAAUGAUGCAGCUGUGGAGCUCCCAGCCAACCCGCCAUAGACUUAUAGCACACUUGAGAACAAGCUUUGUUAUUUUAAGACCUUGGGAUUUGGGGACUGUUAUUACAGCAGCAUGUUCUGCAGCAUGUUCUGGCCCAUCCCGACUAAUAAAGGGUCAUUGUGUGUCAUCAUCUUUGUUUUCCCAGUGCUCCAAAUGACAUGGCGCUCAAUACCAACUGCCAAAUAAAUAACUGACUGCA